AGGACGAACGCUGGCGGCGUGCUUAACACAUGCAAGUCGAGCGGUAAGGCUCCUUCGGGAGUACACGAGCGGCGAACGGGUGAGUAACACGUGAGCAAUCUGCCCUUCACUUUGGGAUAACUUCCGGAAACGGAAGCUAAUACCGAAUACGACCAUCGCGGACAUCCGCUGAUGGUGGAAAGUUCCGGCGGUGAAGGAUGAGCUCGCGGCCUAUCAGCUUGUUGGUGAGGUAACGGCCCACCAAGGCGACGACGGGUAGCCGGCCUGAGAGGGUGACCGGCCACACUGGGACUGAGACACGGCCCAGACUCCUACGGGAGGCAGCAGUGGGGAAUAUUGGACAAUGGGCGAAAGCCUGAUCCAGCAACGCCGCGUGAGGGGAUGACGGCCUUCGGGUUGUAAACCUCUUUCAGCAGGGACGAAGCGAAAGUGACGGUACCUGCAGAAGAAGCACCGGCCAACUACGCGCCAGCAGCCGCGGUAA
This 484-nucleotide ribosomal RNA is filed under the name uncultured bacterium. RNAcentral describes it as "SSU rRNA". It matches the Rfam family "Bacterial small subunit ribosomal RNA", at positions 26 to 523 of the family's 1533-position model. The record is from RNAcentral.